UGGGGAAUUUUGGACAAUUGGGCGAAAGCCUGAUCCAGCAAUGCCGCGUGUGUGAAGAAGGCCUUCGGGUUGUAAAGCACUUUUGUCCGGAAAGAAAUCCUUGGCUCUAAUACAGUCGGGGGAUGACGGUACCGGAAGAAUAAGCACCGGCUAACUACGUGCCAGCAGCCGCGGUAAUACGUAGGGUGCAAGCGUUAAUCGGAAUUACUGGGCGUAAAGCGUGCGCAGGCGGUUUGCUAAGACCGAUGUGAAAUCCCCGGGCUCAACCUGGGAACUGCAUUGGUGACUGGCAGGCUAGAGUAUGGCAGAGGGGGGUAGAAUUCCACGUGUAGCAGUGAAAUGCGUAGAGAUGUGGAGGAAUACCGAUGGCGAAGGCAGCCCCCCUGGGCCAAUACUGACGCUCAUGCACGAAAGCGUGGGGGAGCAAACAGGAUUAGAUACCCCUGGUAGUCCACGCCCUAAACGAUGUCAACUAGUUGUUGGGGAUUCAUUUCCUUAGUAACGUAGCUAACGCGUGAAGUUGACCGCCUGGGGAGUACGGUCGCAAGAUUAAAACUCAAAGGAAUUGACGGGGUCAUAGCUGUUU
This 586-nucleotide ribosomal RNA is filed under the name uncultured bacterium. RNAcentral describes it as "partial 16S ribosomal RNA". It matches the Rfam family "Bacterial small subunit ribosomal RNA", at positions 355 to 935 of the family's 1533-position model. The record is from RNAcentral.